RNAcentral lists this unclassified non-coding RNA (810 nucleotides) under Zea mays. RNAcentral describes it as "misc RNA Zm00001eb258060". Lineage: Eukaryota; Viridiplantae; Streptophyta; Magnoliopsida; Poales; Poaceae. The record is from RNAcentral.
CGAGCGCAAGGCAGCCACGACGGGACAGAGGCCGAAGCCUCGCGCGCACUCGCUCCGCCUUCUCUCGUGUCGCGUCGCGUAUAAAAGCGGCCGCCCCGGACCCCGGCGACGCCCACCAAGAUUCCAAGAACCAUGGCCUCCGCACCCUGCUCCAACUCUUCCCCCGCCGCCAGAGCCCCGAGAUCCGCCGCUGCCGGCAACAAGAAGCCGACGACGUGCCUCUGCUCGCCGACGAGCCACCCGGGGUCGUUCCGCUGCAGCCGGCACCGGAACGGGGCCGCCGCGCCGGGCGGCGAGGCGGCGCACGGCGCCAGCAGGGGCGGCACUGCUGGCAGGGCGGCCAAGGGGCGGUCCGUGCGCGCGCUGCUGCUCCAGAGGAUCGGCGGCGGCCCCAGCGAGCUCGGCGGCCGCCGCCGCCGCUGCCGUCGCGGGGUCGGCGACUUCCAGCCGCGGCCCUCCAGGCUGCGCCUCAUGAACCAGUGACGCCGGCGGGCCUGCUUCGGUCUCGUCGCUGCUCCUCCUGAUCUAGCGCCGGUGGUGCGCCACUAUUUCGCGCGCACGCAUCGGUUCGACGACGCGACGCUAGAUCGUACUACGUUCUUAGCAGAAUAAAGAGCAAAAACUGUCCGUACUGUACUCGUAGCCUGCAGAUCUGGAACUGUGUGUACAUAGUGUCGAUGAAGACGAAGCAACGUGGUUCGUUCCUCCAUUUCUGAUGGCUCCAUGUAUGCCUAUGGUCUGUAACUCUGUACUCCUUGUGUUUUUUUAGAGAGGAAAGAAAGAAAUCCAUGGAAGAGUGCAUAUGGUGUU